GAUGAACGCUGGCGGCGUGCCUAAUACAUGCAAGUCGUACGGAAAGGUUCUGCACUUAGUAUUUGACCUUGGUAAGUCUGAAAAGAUACUGCCAAGAACAGUAGCUUCUGGCUAGAAAUUACUGUCGAAUGUUAAGUGUAGAAUACUCGAGUGGCGGACGGCUGAGUAACACGUAGGAACGUACCCCAAAGUGAGGGAUAACUGCUCGAAAGAGUAGCUAAUACCGCAGUGCUCUAAGGAGUAAAGCUUCGGCGCUUUGGGAACGGCCUGCGUCUGAUUAGCUUGUUGGUGAGGUAAUGGCUCACCAAGGCGACGAUCAGUAGCUGGUCUGAGAGGAUGACCAGCCAGACUGGGACUGAGAACGGCCCAGACU
RNAcentral lists this ribosomal RNA (373 nucleotides) under uncultured bacterium. RNAcentral describes it as "bacterial SSU rRNA". It matches the Rfam family "Bacterial small subunit ribosomal RNA", at positions 28 to 337 of the family's 1533-position model. The record is from RNAcentral.